RNAcentral lists this unclassified non-coding RNA (280 nucleotides) under Hevea brasiliensis (rubber tree). Lineage: Eukaryota; Viridiplantae; Streptophyta; Magnoliopsida; Malpighiales; Euphorbiaceae. The record is from RNAcentral.
GUAUCUUUUAUAUAUUUUUUUUUAAUUUCCUGCAAUAAAUUUUUUGAAAUUGAAUCCGUUUGAAUAUAAUCAAAAGAAUACUUAGAAGUGCUUUUUAGCUUUUUUGUUGGAUAUUCUUCAAACCUUAUUAUUUUUAUAUUUUCAAGUUCAAAUAAUUGUUUAGUUGUGCCCUUACUAGCUAUUGCUUUUCUCAAUAUAGAGAGAGUGUUUGUCUUAAGAUUCCUUUGGCUUUCUUCUUCUAGCUUGGAUAGGCUCUUUGAUAUAUUUUAUUCCUUCCUAG